This 45-nucleotide non-coding RNA is filed under the name Trichobilharzia regenti. Lineage: Eukaryota; Metazoa; Platyhelminthes; Trematoda; Strigeidida; Schistosomatidae. The record is from RNAcentral.
ACCCAGAUGACGAGUCCUAAAUAGGACAAAAUGGACAUCCUAGAU